GGCUAAAGCACAUAACUGGUAAUCAGAAGGUUGCUGGUUCGAUCCCCACAGCCACCACCAUUGUGUCCUUGAGUAAGGCACUUAACUCCAGGUUGCUCCGGGGGGAUUGUCCCUGUAAUAAGUGCUCUGUAUAAUACAUUGGUACUCAGAAGGUUGCUGGUUUGAUCCCCACAGUCACCACCAUUGUGUCCUUGAGUAAGACACUUAACUCCAGGUUGCUCUGGGGGGAUUGUCCCUGUAAUAAGUGCUCUGUAUAAUACAUUGGUACUCAGAAGGUUGCUGGUUUGAUCCCCACAGUCACCACCAUUGUGUCCUUGAGUAAGACACUUAACUCCAGGUUGCUCCGGGGGGAUUGUCCCUGUAAUAAGUGCUCUGUAUAAUACAUUGGUACUCAGAAGGUUGCUGGUUUGAUCCCCACAGUCACCACCAUUGUGUCCUUGAGUAAGGCACUUAACUCCAGGUUGCUCCGGGGGGGAUUGUCCCUGUAAUAA
This is a long non-coding RNA of Xyrauchen texanus (razorback sucker), 491 nucleotides long. RefSeq lists it as uncharacterized. Lineage: Eukaryota; Metazoa; Chordata; Actinopteri; Cypriniformes; Catostomidae. The record is from RefSeq and is a predicted model, not a curated record. The transcript is spliced from 3 exons.